Molecule: ribosomal RNA, 236 nt
Filed under: uncultured bacterium
Lineage: Bacteria
Description: partial 16S ribosomal RNA
Rfam family: Bacterial small subunit ribosomal RNA
Source: RNAcentral
GAUCAUCGCUCAGGAUGAACGCUAGCGGCAGGCUUAACACAUGCAAGUCGAGGGGCAGCAUAAUGGAUAGCAAUAUCUAUGGUGGCGACCGGCGCACGGGUGCGUAACGCGUAUGCAACCUACCUUUAACAGGGGGGUAACACUGAGAAAUUGGUACUAAUACCCCAUAAUAUCAUAGAAGGCAUCUUUUAUGGUUGAAAAUUCCGAUGGUUAGAGAUGGGCAUGCGUUGUAUUAG